Molecule: ribosomal RNA, 417 nt
Filed under: uncultured eukaryote
Lineage: Eukaryota
Description: bacterial SSU rRNA
Rfam family: Eukaryotic small subunit ribosomal RNA
Source: RNAcentral
UGAUAUCUCAUCUCGCCGCCCGUCGCGAGGCGGACGGAGGAUGGAUGAGGUUACCUGGAAAAAAUCGGGGCGAUCUAGGCGGGCGAACCUCGCCAACGAACGAUCGGACAUGGGGAUAACGGAAGAGGGCGUCGGCUCGACUUCGUCGGUUCCUCGGGCCGAGGCACGUACGGUGAAUAGGGACGGUCGGGGCCGCCCGUACCGGGUCGUGAGAGGUGAAAUUCUAGGAUCGACCCGAGACGAACCGCCGCGAAAGCAUUCGGCAAGGACGCUUUCAUUAAUCAAGAACGAAAGUCGGGGGAUCGAAGACGAUCAGAUACCGUCGUAGUCCCGACCGUAACGAUGCCGACCGAGGGCCCGGAGGAGUUACGUACGACCCUCCGGGCCCUCCCGCGAGAAAUCAGGAGUAUUCGGGUU